UGCCAGCAGCCGCGGUAAUACGAAGGGACCUAGCGUAGUUCGGAAUUACUGGGCGUAAAGGGUUCGUAGGCGGUUAUAUAAGUCAGAUGUGAAAUCCCUGGGCUCAACCUAGGAAUUGCAUAUGAUACUGUAUGACUAGAGUGCAGUAGAGGAGUGGGGAAUUCCUGGUGUAGCGGUGAAAUGCGUAGAUAUCAGGAGGAACACCAAUGGCGAAGGCAACACUCUGGGCUGUAACUGACGCUGAGGGACGAAAGCGUGGGGAUCAAACAGGAUUAGAUA
RNAcentral lists this ribosomal RNA (279 nucleotides) under uncultured bacterium. Its description in RNAcentral is "partial 16S ribosomal RNA". It matches the Rfam family "Bacterial small subunit ribosomal RNA", at positions 506 to 784 of the family's 1533-position model. The record is from RNAcentral.